CGAGAAAUCGUCUCACCCCAGCCAGUGUGACGGAGUGAGAGCAAAAGAAAGUUUUGAUAGCAGCGUACGAUUUAUAUUCAGCUGUAUGCUGGGCAGGUCCAACUUGGCAUUUCUUGGCUGUAUCUCUGAAGGAAAGUCAUCUUAAUCUCUAUGAGCCUCCAUUUCCUCAGCUGUAAAAUGGGAAGAUCUUCCUCACACUGCUGUGACAUUUAGUGAGUGCCUGCUGUGUGUCAUCCAUUGUGACAGUGUUGGGAACACGGAGAUGAAUAAAACAAGGCCCCUGUCCUGGGAGAGCCGAGAGGCCACCUGUCAGCUGACAUCUUAGGGAGGACACCAUCUACAUCCAAC
This 348-nucleotide long non-coding RNA is filed under the name Homo sapiens (human). RNAcentral's name for it is "non-protein coding SRP14-AS1:15". Lineage: Eukaryota; Metazoa; Chordata; Mammalia; Primates; Hominidae. The record is from RNAcentral.